GGUGGCUGGCCUGACCUUGAUCAUCUGCCUGUGGGGCUCCCUGGGGCACAGUUGGGAAUUUGUCCAUGGCACUGGGGCCUGGGCAUGGGAGGCAAGGCCGGGCAGUGGGAGGUGCCCUGAAUUGGUGAUCCAGCCACUUAAGCACUGAACCUCAAUACAGGAGACGUCACAGGAUUGCUGUAAGGAUCUAAAGAGCUGCCUCAGAAGAGAAGAAGGAACGGACACAAAUGAAAAUCAGAACACUAAAGAGAUUCAAAGAUUUGUCAUUUCCCUUCUGCUCAUGAAGGCCCUUGAUAGCUACACACGCAGUCAAGGCAACAAGCAAGCCUUCCACAUCCACGGUGGAUGGAGGCGCUCUUGAAAGGGGAGCCUUAGGAUGAAGGGAAAGGAAAAUGACCAGAAGGAAAGGACGGUGGGAGCGUAAAGAAGACUGACCUUGCACGGGGAAGGUGUGGACUUCUAGCCCAGCUAGAACUGGAUGUCUGCUUGCCCGACCCCGUGUCCUUGAGAAGGUCAGCUUCGAAGCCUCAGUCUCCCCACCUAUGAAACGAGGAUGCGGGUCUCCAACUCACCCACAGUGCGGCCCCCUCGAAAGACUCA
Molecule: long non-coding RNA, 600 nt
Filed under: Sus scrofa (pig)
Lineage: Eukaryota; Metazoa; Chordata; Mammalia; Artiodactyla; Suidae
Description: lncRNA (ENSSSCG00040010070.1)
Source: RNAcentral